This 1222-nucleotide long non-coding RNA is filed under the name Homo sapiens (human). RNAcentral describes it as "non-protein coding MIR100HG:85". The record is from RNAcentral. Lineage: Eukaryota; Metazoa; Chordata; Mammalia; Primates; Hominidae.
ACUUGCUUCUUUUUAACAGCCCUAUCAGCCGAGAGAAAUAAUGACUCCUGAAUCAUUUGACAGUAAAAAAGUUAAAAUGAUGUCUCAAUGGCGCUGCAUCAUGCCAGACGCGCGUGGAUGAUUUGAAGAUAUUAGCCUAACAAGAUGGAAGCAGGUUUAAAAUUUUACAUAAGAAGUUACCUUUUUCAGAUACAGUUAAGCUAAUGAUCUCGAGAGGAUAUCGUCCUGGAUAAGGGUGGAGCCUACGCCCAAAAACAAGAUUACCUGAAAGAGAAAAGAAAGGGGGAAAACACACAGAGAUACAGUCGGGGAGGCCACAUGAAGAUGGAGGCAGAGACAGGAGUGAUGAGCCUGCAAGCCAAGGAAUGCCAAGGGCUGCCAGCAGCCAUGAGAAGCUGAGAGACACAGAGAACGAGUCCUCUGCCAGAGCCUCCAGAAGGAACUAACCCUGUCAAUACCUUGAUUUCGGACUUCUGGACUCCAGAACUAUAACCCUCCUUCCUCCACCUCACAAAAACUCACAAGCUGCAACCCUUCUGAUGUCCACUCCCACACAAACCAGCUUCAGGCCUUUUUCAAGAUGUGACUGGAGUGAUUUGCACCCGGAUGCCUAGACUCGCCAUCUGCUCAAAGACUGCUCAGAAAGCCCUCCCAUGCAUUCCCCUGCUGCAUACCAGCCCACUCUGCCUGCAGCUGCUGUCUGCAGGACUUCAUAUCUAUGCCACACUGUGUAAAAGCUGUGCUUCAAGAAAUCACAAAAACAUUUUCCUGCACCUACUACACAGCCUGAGUGCGGCAUAAGUUGACCUUGCUUGCUAAGAAAUGGGGCAAGAAAUGCUUUUUUGUGUGUGUCAUGUCUGUUUGUUUUUCAAUUAAGAGAGGAAAGCAUUAGGCAGAUGGAAUGUACAUGUGAGGAUGAGGAGACAGAAAACAAGUAGCCCUUUCCAUCAAGAUAGAGGGUUUUCUGGGGUUGCUGGCUAUUGAAUGUCACUCCUGAUUUCUCUUUCCAAGGCACUGUACCACCAGCCUACUGAGAUUGUGUGGGAGCUUUCAUGGGGGUUGUAUUUCACUGAUGAAAAUAAAUUUUUUGCAUAAUGUGAAUGUUUAUGUUUCUUUAUAGAAUAGACUUAGUUUAGCAAUAAGCUAAUAAUACUGACGUAACUCUAAUUCUCUGGGGAAAAAAUUUGCUCCCCCACCUUCCAUUCCUGCAACAUCAUCAAAG